Long non-coding RNA from Episyrphus balteatus (marmalade hoverfly), 703 nucleotides. RefSeq lists it as uncharacterized. The transcript has 3 exons. NCBI's taxonomy places the organism in Eukaryota, Metazoa, Arthropoda, Insecta, Diptera, Syrphidae. The record is from RefSeq and is a predicted model, not a curated record.
CUUCCCAUAAGCUACCGUAGUGCUUUGUAUAUACCAUCUCUUUCAAACCGCAUAAAAACAGCACCACUUAGAAACAAAGAGAAAACGAGAAUAGCGUUUAAGUCUGCAAUUACUCUAAGAACAUUACUUUUCACCAACACCAAAGGAAAAAUAGAAAAAAUGGAUAAGUCAGACGUGGUUUACAAAAUUAAAUGUGCAGGUGGAAGUGAGACGGAUUGUUCUUCCGUAUAUGUAGGAACAUCGAAACAAAAGCUCCGCAAUCGUCUCUCAGGCCAUCGAUCUGAUAUAAACAACGGUGGCUCUCAAAAAACUGCACUUGCAUUGCAUUGCAUAGAAAAGAACCACAAACCUAACUUUGAUGACGUCACAAUCUUGGAGGUGGAGAGGCAUCAUAACAAAAGAAUGUUGCUAGAGAUGCUGCAUAUCAACAACACCGAUAAUGCAGUUAAUAGACGGUCUGAUUGUGACAGUCUCAGCAUUAUAUACAACCAGCUGAUAACAAAUAAGAAGAAACAGUCGUCGUGAACAGUGGUGUGAAAAAAUUCUUUUCUUUUAAUGCUGUUAAAUAAAUUGAAAUGUGUGUUUGUGCUGUAAAUACAAAUCAACUAAUUGUUGUUGCCUGAUGAAGAGUGUAUUCAUGCUCGAAACGUUGUAACCAUAUAAAAAUCUUUUAUUGACCUGGAGCCUGCAUCAAAGUUUUUCA